This 450-nucleotide ribosomal RNA is filed under the name uncultured bacterium. Its description in RNAcentral is "bacterial SSU rRNA". It matches the Rfam family "Bacterial small subunit ribosomal RNA", at positions 354 to 796 of the family's 1533-position model. The record is from RNAcentral.
GUGGGGAAUAUUGGACAAUGGGCGAAAGCCUGAUCCAGCCAUGCCGCGUGUGUGAAGAAGGUCUUCGGAUUGUAAAGCACUUUAAGUUGGGAGGAAGGGCAGUAAGUUAAUACCUUGCUGUUUUGACGUUACCGACAGAAUAAGCACCGGCUAACUUCGUGCCAGCAGCCGCGGUAAUACGAAGGGUGCAAGCGUUAAUCGGAAUUACUGGGCGUAAAGCGCGCGUAGGUGGUUUUGUAAGUUGGAGGUGAAAUCCCCGGGCUCAACCUGGGAACUGCCUCCAAAACUGCAUGACUAGAGGACGGUAGAGGGUAUGGGAAUUUCCUGUGUAGCGGUGAAAUGCGUAGAUAUAGGAAGGAACACCAGUGGCGAAGGCGACUACCUGGACUGAUACUGACACUGAGGUGCGAAAGCGUGGGGAGCAAACAGGAUUAGAAACCCUAGUAGUCC